CCUGCACUCUGAGUAUGGAAUCACGUCAAAAUUAAAUAUAUAUUCAUAUCGAUUCUCAAUUAACUAAUGAUGACUCCAAUGAAGAAGUAUUAGAAACUCUUUCUAAUUUUCUUUUUGCUUUUGGCCAAAAGAUUUUUUUCAAGUCAUCUAGGAUUGAGAAUACACAGGAUGCGAUCUUCUCUUACUAAGAGUGAUCGAUUUCAUGUUGAUCUACUCACAACCUCCAUACACACUCCACUAUAUCCAGAACACCAUGUACAUGUCUUAAUGCCAUGCCUAGGUAUGAACUAAAAUAUGGGUUCAUGUGCAUAAGAUUUCAUGGUG
Molecule: long non-coding RNA, 324 nt
Filed under: Elaeis guineensis (African oil palm)
Lineage: Eukaryota; Viridiplantae; Streptophyta; Magnoliopsida; Arecales; Arecaceae
Description: long non-coding RNA (EGUI_LNC053634)
Source: RNAcentral